Molecule: ribosomal RNA, 253 nt
Filed under: uncultured bacterium
Lineage: Bacteria
Description: partial 16S ribosomal RNA
Rfam family: Bacterial small subunit ribosomal RNA
Source: RNAcentral
UACGGAGGGUCCAAGCGUUAUCCGGAAUCAUUGGGUUUAAAGGGUCCGUAGGCGGUUUUGUAAGUCAGUGGUGAAAGCCCAUCGCUCAACGGUGGAACGGCCAUUGAUACUGCAAGACUUGAAUUAUUGUGAAGUAACUAGAAUAUGUAGUGUAGCGGUGAAAUGCUUAGAGAUUACAUGGAAUACCAAUUGCGAAGGCAGGUUACUAACAAUAUAUUGACGCUGAUGAACGAAAGCGUGGGUAGCGAACAGG